Molecule: long non-coding RNA, 748 nt
Organism: Halichondria panicea
Lineage: Eukaryota; Metazoa; Porifera; Demospongiae; Suberitida; Halichondriidae
Exons: 3
Source: RefSeq, a predicted model, not a curated record
AACGAGGAGUAAUUAAUUUUGUCUAUUAAAAACUAGCUAUUCAAGGUGAUGUAAAAAAACUUGCCUGACUCAGCAAAAAUUUGUGGGAAUAUCACGUGACAAGUCUAGACAUUGGAGAUGCUGCUCUGUUCCCAUACUUGCUUGUACAGUGCAUAAUUGUAUGUUCAGCUGCACAGUUCAUAAUAUCAACUGUACAGGAUACAUUCUAUUCGCGAUAUGGGUGUUAUACGAUGAAGCUGUUUUCUUUCUUUACUGCCACAAGUGUAUAUGAUUGCACCCAGUAGCUCGUCGCCGCAAGUAAAGCAGAGAAAGUUUACGAUUUUUCUGUGGGGAUAAACCAGCUCAAUAAUUCGAAAGAGGUGUAUAAAUGUGGUUGCAAAGAUCGCAAAGAUCACAUGAUGCAAGACCUCUCCAAGGGCCUACCCUUAUCGCGCGGAGAGGAUAUUUUUGAAGGGAUACGUCCAAUAUCGGCAGGUGAUGGGUACAUAUAGAGCUAAUAUGUCUCAAGGUGAUUGUAGAUCAGGUCACCAAGAGCUUUGAACCUGGACACGCAUUCAUCACGAUCAAAAGUAGACUCAGAAACUCAGAACACACACAUUGCUUCGUCAAUAAUAAUGCAUAUUCAAAACAUACGGUGUGAACGGUACUUGGCCUGUUGUUCUGUUGUUCUGCAGCAUUUUCUUUACCAGCUUGCCUUUAGAUAGAUACCAAGUACACUCACGUUUCACUUCUUUUCACAGUAUUUACA